Molecule: long non-coding RNA, 959 nt
Filed under: Citrus sinensis (sweet orange)
Lineage: Eukaryota; Viridiplantae; Streptophyta; Magnoliopsida; Sapindales; Rutaceae
Description: long non-coding RNA (CSIN_LNC000928)
Source: RNAcentral
GCAGCCAGUGAUUUUGGUGCUGAAGCCAUGAACACUGCAAUAAAAUUCAAUGUUGAAACCGCUGAGGGUGAAACGUUUUUGGGAUCACCCUCAGCUGUCCAAGUUUCCAUUGAAGAUACCUGUAGAGUAUCAAAAAGUUCUGAACCUGAGGAAGUAACUCUUCAAGCUGGCAAUGAGGCACCAGAGAAUGGGAAGCAGACCCAGAACACUUCAACUAUUGAGGUAGCUGGAGAGAGAGGAACCGAGGAAAACAAAGUAACAGAAGAUUCACAAGAGAAACCAGUCGAAGAUAAGAGCAGUGAGAGAGAAACUAGUGCCAUUCAUAAUUAUGAGAAAGAUGGAACAAUGACAGAUGUAAAUACUGAUUUGGGAUCCAACGAACAAGUUGUCAACGUACUAGAGGCUGUAUCAGAUCGAAACAAAGAAGAUUUAAUUCAUAUACCAGAUCCAACGGUAAUCAGCUUGAACAAGAGUGUUGAAACUGUUGUGGAGCCAUGUGUGAAAGCUGAAAGCACAUCUGAAGUCGAAUUCACUGGAGAAGAAAUGAGAGAAACAAGCUUUACAGAAGCAGAGAAGUCUAGUAAUCUAACAGAUGAGGUGCCUGAGGCAACCAAACCAAGUGAGGGAGUAGCAGAUGAAAAUGAGAAAGAAAAAUCCACGUAUGAAGAUGCUGAAGGCAUCUUCCCCUCAACAACAGACAUCCAGAGAAAUGAAGAAGCAAUCUUAAAAAUCAGAGAGAGGGAUAAUGAAAUGUUAGACACACAAUCAGUGACACCAGCAGCAGAUGUAUCAGGUGUAUAUGAAGCUGAACCUGAGGAAAGCGCGAACCUUAAAGAGGCCUCCAGUAUUUUAUGCGAGAAGAAAUCUCAAGAUGAAACUGAUCUGAGUGAAGAUAUAAUGAACAGCAAGAACAGCAUAGAUACUCCUGCCAUGCAAACAGAAGGUAAGGAUAUCGUCAA